Molecule: non-coding RNA, 3465 nt
Organism: Xyrichtys novacula (pearly razorfish)
Lineage: Eukaryota; Metazoa; Chordata; Actinopteri; Labriformes; Labridae
Source: the annotation of a GenBank genome assembly
UCUAAUCCGACUGCCGGAGCCCAUCCGCAGCAGAGCUGAAUGGCGGACGGAUUCUGUGGAAUCGCACACAUUGAUUAUAAUGCUUGAAUACUUGAUCCGCCUGCCGUGCCGGAGCGCAGCCGUUCCGGAUCCUGUGGGUUUUGCCCAUAACAGUAAAAGCUCUCUUAAUGUUUUAUUUAUUAGCACUUCUGUUUUGUUUUUGUGAAAUUGAAUAAGUGGUUUUAUGUUGUUCUGCCCAAAGUCUAACGGUGAACACAGUGCUAUGGUUUUUGUAAGAGAAAAUACUGCGUAAUGUGUUGUUUACAACUGGUAUAGCUAACAACAACUAGCAACAACUGACAACAGCAAACAACAGCUGACAACAGCUAACAACGGCUAACAGUAGGCAUCCAUCUUGGUUUUGUGACUUGUUAACUGGAACACCGUCAACUUGAUGGUAACGUCAUUCCCAGCUGCAACAUCCAACUUCCUACUUUAUUUAGCGAAAGCCCCAAGUGGCCACUCAAGGUACUGCAGUUUUUGGCACCUCUGCUCUUGUACGUCAAUAUUUAUGUAAAUAAGAGCAGAAAUUGUUCAAUUUAGAAACCUUCCAUCUCGACAGUGUUUCAACCGUCUGUUUUGCACAUGCAGCUGUGAAAUAUGCCAACGUUUACAUGCCACAAGUACCAGUGGAAAGAGCCACCUUGUAAAUAUUUAAGGGGGACUGUUAAUUGUAAUAUGCUUUACAGAGAGAUGUGAUUUAACUGCCAGUAUCGCUGUCUCGCCGUCUAACGACAUCUCUGCCUAUCUGGCCAGCGGUCUGUGCGUCUCACUCUCUGCGAGACGGAGCAGCCUGACACAGCCCUGUUAAAGUUAAUAGCUCUCCACAAGCACAGAAGCCCAGACAGGCCAACACCAAUAAAACUCAAGCAAAUUAUAUCAGAGAGAAAGAGGCACCGAGGAGUCAUUUUGUUAUUGGGUUCAGCAUUCCUCAGCGUAGGAGCAGGACUAUUGCGUCACGCAGGAAUAACUUUGGAGCGGCGUAAAACUGAUGUCGGCGGCGGGCUUGAAUAUUCACACUGAGUCUUGGCAUGGCGGAGACAUUGUGGAGGCCUGGUGAGAGGGUGAAAAGUGUCCUGGCAAAGCUCCUGUCCUCUUAGCCUCUGUCAUACACCGUGAGCUGUGGCCGACUGCCACGGUUAGACAUCUGGACGCUUACUUCCCUCUGAAAUACAGUAACUAACACUCAGCAGAACGCCGAGGUGAAAACAGCAUCACAGUUACCGUAACAGAGGAUUUUUCAUUAAUGAUGAAAAUAGCUGUACUCAACACAUUUCUAACACCGCCGCGGUUACAGUGAAAGCUGAGAACGUGUGGAAACCUCUAACUGAAAACAGACUCGGAGAAGUUUGAGCAUCUUGUGAGAAAAUUUUUGCUCAUUUUUAAUUUUGUGUUAAUAAAAAUGAUGAUGAUGGAGAAAACGAGAAAACACCUGAAGGAACAUCUCUGUAUAAUUUCAUUAACUUGCAUUAGGACAGUGACAUAACAGGGCAAAAAAAGGGAACUCUAGAGAAGUUGAAGCCCAAAAACCAACAGGAUGCAUGUUAGACGCGUUCUGUCAGCGCCACACGCUACGCAGAAAAUACAGUCCCAUUCUAAAUCAACCUUGCAUCGCACAGAACAAUCCCAGUCUAUCCCUGCUCCACGUGGACCACAACCGGACUUUUAACUGCGAACUACAGCAAAGCAAAGUGGGACACAUUUGUCUUUACUAAACACGAGUAAACCUGCAAAAUUAGGAACUUUAAAGUCAUGUUGUUUGUUUGUUCACAUACAGAAGAAGCUCAACAGUCACAGAAUAAAAUCCAGAUUAGCAGGAAAUUGACCACAGAAAGGUAAAAUGACCUGUUGUUAGCAUGUUGUUUUCCGUUUACUGAGUCCAGCUGACUGAAGCUGCGUUACGCUGCUGCUAAGCUCCAAACACACUUCCCGAGGGCGAUGAUGCACACUGUCUGAUGCAGGAGAAUUCAUGAACUACACUUCAUAUUAUCAUUAAAAGAUUCAGAGAAUCUGCUGGAAUCUCUUUAAAAAAACAAAAACAGCAUUAACUUGUUUUUGCUGAUGGAUCAAAUGGCAGAUUUUUUCUACUGACGGUGUAGGGACCAGAUCGGCUCGGGGCCCAGCGCCGUUUAAAGACGUCACACUACGGCAAGUCUACUAAGACAAACUACAUUACGCUUCAUUUAAUAAGUCAAAUAUGGAGAAUUAUGACCUUCUGUACUGUGAUUUUAAUCGUAUAUGUAAACUUUUCUGAAGGAAAAAGAAAAAUAUAUAUACGCAGGAUCUCCGUUUAUCAAUAGAUAGUUUUGCUUUUAUUUCACAUUUCCUUUGGCGACCUCAAAGAGGCGAUAGUUCGGCUGUCGUAAAUCAUCUUUGAUAAGCAGCGAUAGAUUUCUUCGUAAAAUUAAUCCAUGUUUUCUCCUAAGAACUACAAUCACAUUAAACCGCUUCCGUAAUGUCCGGACUAACCAUAAUCUUCUACGUCAUCCGAACCAACAACCAACCAAUGAAAAAAGUUCUCUUUAGUUAUGUGUGAGUGUGCAUGAUGGAGAGCUUGGUGGUGGUCCCGGUCUGGAACAUUUGGCCCCUGCAGGGUUGAAGUGAAGCCGGAUUGCGAGAAGACAGUGAUGAGCGUAUCCUAAACUCUAACAUCAACUCAACUUUCUAUGAAUCGUUGUGAUCCAGAAGAAAAGUCAAACAUUAAAACAGGCGACCACAACACUUCUUUGUACGACUGCAAAUGAGACGGAUGGAGAGUCAAUGAGAAGAGGUUCAUAUUGGACUGUCUGGACUGGUCGGACUGGGACCAACAUUAGUCAGUGAUGGGACAAAUAUCACUGUGAUCCAGGAGCGUUCGAACCAUCAGAGAUAAGAGCUGAACGGUCAGAGUGGAGCUUUAUUCUGCUGACAGGACAGGGAGGCAGACUGGUUGAACUGUGGUUAACUCCACUCGGGUGGUGCUCGUUAUAAACACAUGACUUAUUCACAGCUACUAUUGGACCCCGCUCUCUGUGUAAUGGGAGCUCACUGCUCAACCAGACCCAAAUCCCCGGGCACUGCCUCUGCCAAGCAGUGUAAAUAUUUAGGGUCACCCGUCGCACAAUGGAAAAUGAAAGCCAUGACUCUGACUGAGUGUGUGUCUGAGUGUGUGACUCAGAACAUCGUGUUUGUGUGUGUCUGCAUUUGCAGGUUCUGGAUUACAGAAAGUGUUUGUAUGAAACUCGGAUUCUUCUCUUUUUAAACGGCUCGGUUCCCUCCUGAGGCCGGGGUCUCUGACAGGAGGCAGAAAAGCGUUAUCUGUGAUGUGGAGGCCGCGGCAUUCAGGGCACCACAUUAAUCACAGCUGGAGAAAAAAGCCUCUGUGCUCAACAUAAACACCAUCCUGCAGAGACAGAACUGAGCCAGACCAGAGGAGCAGGACUCGCC